GACGAACGCUGGCGGCGUGCUUAACACAUGCAAGUCGAACGGAAAGGCCCUGCUUUUGUGGGGUGCUCGAGUGGCGAACGGGUGAGUAACACGUGAGUAACCUGCCCUUGACUUUGGGAUAACUUCAGGAAACUGGGGCUAAUACCGGAUAGGAGCUCCUGCUGCAUGGUGGGGGUUGGAAAGUUUCGGCGGUUGGGGAUGGACUCGCGGCUUAUCAGCUUGUUGGUGGGGUAGUGGCUUACCAAGGCUUUGACGGGUAGCCGGCCUGAGAGGGUGACCGGCGACAUUGGGACUGCGAUACGGCGCAGACGGCUACGGGGGACAGCAGGGGGGAGUAUUGCACAAUGGGGGGGAGCCUGAGACAGCGGCGUCGCGGGCGUGAAGUCGGCCUUCGGGGGGUAAACCGAGUUCGGCUGUUACGAAGCGUGAUUGACGGUAAUGGGAAAAGAAGCACCGGCUAACUACGUG
RNAcentral lists this ribosomal RNA (468 nucleotides) under uncultured bacterium. Its description in RNAcentral is "partial 16S ribosomal RNA". It matches the Rfam family "Bacterial small subunit ribosomal RNA", at positions 28 to 507 of the family's 1533-position model. The record is from RNAcentral.